UACGUAGGGUGCGAGCGUUGUCCGGAAUUAUUGGGCGUAAAGAGCUCGUAGGCGGUCUGUCGCGUCGGUCGUGAAAACUUGGGGCUUAACCCUGAGCUUGCGGUCGAUACGGGCAUGACUGGAGUUCGGCAGGGGAGACUGGAAUUCCUGGUGUAGCGGUGAAAUGCGCAGAUAUCAGGAGGAACACCGAUGGCGAAGGCAGGUCACUGGGCCGCAACUGACGCUGAGGAGCGAAAGCAUGGGGAGCGAACAGG
This 254-nucleotide ribosomal RNA is filed under the name uncultured bacterium. RNAcentral describes it as "partial 16S ribosomal RNA". It matches the Rfam family "Bacterial small subunit ribosomal RNA", at positions 524 to 776 of the family's 1533-position model. The record is from RNAcentral.